Molecule: ribosomal RNA, 492 nt
Filed under: uncultured bacterium
Lineage: Bacteria
Description: partial 16S ribosomal RNA
Rfam family: Bacterial small subunit ribosomal RNA
Source: RNAcentral
AGUGAACGCUGGCGGUAGGCCUAACACAUGCAAGUCGAACGGCAGCACAGUAAGAGCUUGCUCUUACGGGUGGCGAGUGGCGGACGGGUGAGGAAUACAUCGGAAUCUACUUUUUCGUGGGGGAUAACGUAGGGAAACUUACGCUAAUACCGCAUACGACCUACGGGUGAAAGCAGGGGAUCUUCGGACCUUGCGCGAUUGAAUGAGCCGAUGUCGGAUUAGCUAGUUGGCGGGGUAAAGGCCCACCAAGGCGACGAUCCGUAGCUGGUCUGAGAGGAUGGUCAGCCACACGAGAACUGAGACACGGUCCAGACUCCUACGGGAGGCAGCAGUGUGGAAUAUUGGACAAUGGGCGCAAGCCUGAUCCAGCCAUACCGCGUGGGUGACGAAGGCCUUCGGGUUGUAAAGCCCUUUUGUUGGGAAAGAAAAGCAGCAGGUUAAUACCCCGCUGUUCUGACGGUACCCAAAGAAUAAGCACCGGCUAACUUCGUG